Hippocampus zosterae (dwarf seahorse) is the source of this 2434-nucleotide long non-coding RNA. RefSeq lists it as uncharacterized. The transcript has 2 exons. NCBI's taxonomy places the organism in Eukaryota, Metazoa, Chordata, Actinopteri, Syngnathiformes, Syngnathidae. The record is from RefSeq and is a predicted model, not a curated record.
CAUUACAGCAGUUCCCCUUAUAACCACAAGGUGGCACUCUUUAGCAAAACAAGGACGAUAAGGCAGUGAGAAUUUUGCGAUUUAUGUAUCAACACAUGGUGAUAGAUAGAAUACAAUGGUGCUGUUAUUUCAUGCUGCAGUAUGAAUGGAAGUACCCAUGUAAUAUUCUGUGUUAAUGGCUUAUGGUAGUUUCGCAAGCACCCUUGCAAAAGGGGAGUUGUCAGCCAAUAAGAAUGCAACACAACCUGUUUAGCUCUAAUUCACUUUUGUACUUUGAUUUUAGUCGCUCCUUGACAAAAAAGAGCAAUUAAACGCGACUCGCAAAAGGAAAGACAGAAAAAAAGCCACAGUGAAUUUAAGAGGACAUAGCAGACUUCGAUCAUGCUCAAGGUCACCUGGUGAUGGGCGGCUCCUCUUCCAAGGGUUUCUUGGUCCAGCAGAAGAGGUCCCCUAUUAGGCAAGCUCUGGCUCCGUUGAAGAGAGCCAUGCGGGUGAGGAGGCGCAAGAAGAUGAUGAAGCCGCUGUACGAUUUAAAUCCACGGAGGGUCACGUCAGACCGCAACAGAGGCUCCCUACCAGUGUGGUGGAAAAAACUGUUCAGAAGCCACAGUGGCAGGGAGCCCAUGCAGGAGGGAAGGAAGCGAUCGGGAAUGACACAUGAAAGGAGGAAGAAUUAAGCACAAACCCCAGCAAGGAAAUGAGAGACGCCGCAUGAUGGACCUACACAAAAGAAUAUGUGACAUCACUGAAGGGAAACAUAUUUAAUGACAUCACCUUCACUCAUAUUUCUAUAUAAAAAAAAGACAGAAUGAUCCCCAUCAGUAUGUGGAAGUGCCCUAAAUGCCGUACUGUACGCACUUCUCAAAAGUGUCAUAAAAACAUGGAACGACACCAACGUGAUGCUUCACUCACACAACGACAAAAAGUCAGUCUCAGGUAACGAUUACUGAUUACAGAGGCACAGAAAUACCGGCAUGGACAAAAUUUUUACCAUGGACUCCAAUUUUUCAACAUUUUCAGCGCACACCUGCAAAAAAAAUUGCCACAAAAAAAAAAAAAAAUCAAGCAACAACAGAGUGCAACACAUUAUGUUGAACACCCCCCCCAAAAAUUGUUUUAAAAAAAUCGCAAAAUUUGCACACAAAAAAAAAAAGGUUAUAUCUUUGUCUUCCCCAAUGCAGAAAAACGUAAAUACUAAAGGACAGGUGUCAAGCAGUCAAAUAUUCUGCCUGUAACUCCUAUUGGAUGUUGUUCAUUCUGCAUUAAAAAAAAAGUCAGUUUGUCAGCCAAUUAAUUUUCACAUUAGAGUCGGCAUGAGAGUUUAGAUAUUCAUAUCAAACUCUUUACGCAAACUGUUUUCUGAAUGUUGGCAUUUUGCAGAAAUACAUAGAUCGAUUUCGAGGUUUGGCAUGCUUCAGAUAUUUAAUUGAUGCGCUUUUAAAUUUAUCAAACGUGUAAUUCAUGCAAAAAAAGUAUGACUUUUGACAAUCGAAUUUGAAUGUUCAAAAAAAUUAACAUCUUCCAAAUGAUUUAUUUCCCUGAAGUUUUAUCACGUCUCCUUCUUUAGCACAUUUACACAAAUUAGCAGAAAUGUAUUACGUAUUUUCUAACUUUUUAAAACAAAUUCCAAUUUUUUUCUAAAUUCUAAAUUUUUGAAAACAAAAAAGCCUUUAAUUCCCCAUCGCAGUAUUUGACUUAUUUUCCCUUUUUUUGGGGACACAAUUCCUAAUUUACCGUUUUUGAGACAAUUGUAUUUUCUUUGGGUCAAUUUUGUCAGACGUUUGCACCAAUUAGAUUUUGCCAAACUGUAAUUCUGACGCAAAUGCCCUUGCCCUACUUUCUUCAACUCUUACGUUUCCCCUAAAGUUGUACUUGUUUGCACAAUUUCCUUCCCAAGGGUCGACUUUGUGCAAAAAUUUCGUGUUUCCUUGACUUUCUCCAUAAAUUUACUUUCCAGAAAAAGCGUUGGAAAAUUCAUUUGAGAAGUUGAUUGCGUUUAGAAUACGGUGGGGAAAAAUGCUGAAGCAGCAAAGCUAGUGAAACGCAAAAUUUUGAGUCACGACCAAGAACUUUUUUCCCACGACUGCAUCAAAGUCACAGUUCAAAUAUUAUAAUGAACUCAGUCUACUUCUUCCGAACUUGUUUAGCUAAUGAACCACAGUAUUGAACAUUGAAUUUUAAGGUACAACAUCACAUUCAGGCUACAAACAAAAGCAUCAUAAAUAUAACAUUUGAGUACUUUUGAGAUUGUAGAGCACAUAAAAAAAAGUUGCAUAGAUGUAUUAGUUCUUUGCUUUUGUUGGUUUAUUACUUUUGUGUCUUCCUCUCAGAAAGCUGACAAAAGCCUGCUCAGGAGCUCACAAAAUGUGGUGGGAAAAAAAAAAGCUCCAAGAAAAAAAAAAGGCUAAAAAAAAUGUUUUAAAUAAAAUAAAAA